UAAAUGUUAAAUGAUAUAUUAUUUUUUCUUUUUUUGUUCUUUCUUCAUUUGUUUUCUCAUCAUUUGUUUCACUUGU
This 76-nucleotide non-coding RNA is filed under the name Ctenophora environmental sample. Lineage: Eukaryota; Metazoa; Ctenophora. The record is from RNAcentral.